This 1435-nucleotide ribosomal RNA is filed under the name Escherichia coli. RNAcentral's name for it is "partial 23S ribosomal RNA". It matches the Rfam family "Bacterial large subunit ribosomal RNA", at positions 1522 to 2925 of the family's 2925-position model. Lineage: Bacteria; Pseudomonadati; Pseudomonadota; Gammaproteobacteria; Enterobacterales; Enterobacteriaceae. The record is from RNAcentral.
AGGCUGAUUUUCCAGGUAAAUCCGGAAAAUCAAGGCUGAGGCGUGAUGACGAGGCACUACGGUGCUGAAGCAACAAAUGCCCUGCUUCCAGGAAAAGCCUCUAAGCAUCAGGUAACAUCAAAUCGUACCCCAAACCGACACAGGUGGUCAGGUAGAGAAUACCAAGGCGCUUGAGAGAACUCGGGUGAAGGAACUAGGCAAAAUGGUGCCGUAACUUCGGGAGAAGGCACGCUGAUACGUAGGUGAAGUCCCUUGCGGAUGGAGCUGAAAUCAGUCGAAGAUACCAGCUGGCUGCAACUGUUUAUUAAAAACACAGCACUGUGCAAACACGAAAGUGGACGUAUACGGUGUGACGCCUGCCCGGUGCCGGAAGGUUAAUUGAUGGGGUUAGCGGUAACGCGAAGCUCUUGAUCGAAGCCCCGGUAAACGGCGGCCGUAACUAUAACGGUCCUAAGGUAGCGAAAUUCCUUGUCGGGUAAGUUCCGACCUGCACGAAUGGCGUAAUGAUGGCCAGGCUGUCUCCACCCGAGACUCAGUGAAAUUGAACUCGCUGUGAAGAUGCAGUGUACCCGCGGCAAGACGGAAAGACCCCGUGAACCUUUACUAUAGCUUGACACUGAACAUUGAGCCUUGAUGUGUAGGAUAGGUGGGAGGCUUUGAAGUGUGGACGCCAGUCUGCAUGGAGCCGACCUUGAAAUACCACCCUUUAAUGUUUGAUGUUCUAACGUUGGCCCCUAAUCGGGGUUGCGGACAGUGUCUGGUGGGUAGUUUGACUGGGGCGGUCUCCUCCUAAAGAGUAACGGAGGAGCACGAAGGUUGGCUAAUCCUGGUCGGACAUCAGGAGGUUAGUGCAAUGGCAUAAGCCAGCUUGACUGCGAGCGUGACGGCGCGAGCAGGUGCGAAAGCAGGUCAUAGUGAUCCGGUGGUUCUGAAUGGAAGGGCCAUCGCUCAACGGAUAAAAGGUACUCCGGGGAUAACAGGCUGAUACCGCCCAAGAGUUCAUAUCGACGGCGGUGUUUGGCACCUCGAUGUCGGCUCAUCACAUCCUGGGGCUGAAGUAGGUCCCAAGGGUAUGGCUGUUCGCCAUUUAAAGUGGUACGCGAGCUGGGUUUAGAACGUCGUGAGACAGUUCGGUCCCUAUCUGCCGUGGGCGCUGGAGAACUGAGGGGGGCUGCUCCUAGUACGAGAGGACCGGAGUGGACGCAUCACUGGUGUUCGGGUUGUCAUGCCAAUGGCACUGCCCGGUAGCUAAAUGCGGAAGAGAUAAGUGCUGAAAGCAUCUAAGCACGAAACUUGCCCCGAGAUGAGUUCUCCCUGACUCCUUGAGAGUCCUGAAGGAACGUUGAAGACGACGACGUUGAUAGGCCGGGUGUGUAAGCGCAGCGAUGCGUUGAGCUAACCGGUACUAAUGAACCGUGAGGCUUAACCUUACAAC